This 465-nucleotide ribosomal RNA is filed under the name uncultured bacterium. Its description in RNAcentral is "partial 16S ribosomal RNA". It matches the Rfam family "Bacterial small subunit ribosomal RNA", at positions 338 to 795 of the family's 1533-position model. The record is from RNAcentral.
CCUACGGGUGGCAGCAGUAGGGAAUCUUCCACAAUGGACGUAAGUCUGAUGGAGCAACGCCGCGUGAGUGAAGAAGGGUUUCGGCUCGUAAAGCUCUGUUGGUAGUGAAGAAAGAUAGUGGUAGUAACUGUCCUUUCUGUGACGGUAUUUACUUAGAAAGUCACGGCUAACUACGUGCCAGCAGCCGCGGUAAUACGUAGGUGGCAAGCGUUGUCCGGAUUUAUUGGGCGUAAAGCGAGGGCAGGCGGUUCAUUAGGUCUGAUGUGAAAGCCUUCGGCUCAACCGGAGAAUUGCAUCAGAAACUGGUGAACUUGAGUGCAGAGGAGGAGAGUGGAACUCCAUGUGUAGCGGUGGAAUGCGUAGAUAUAUGGAAGAACACCAGUGGCGAAGGCGGCUCUCUGGUCUGCAACUGACGCUGAGGCUCGAAAGCAUGGGUAGCGAACAGGAUUAGAUACCCUUGUAGUC